GAGCUCAACAAUCUAACUGCACUGUCACGAAAGCACAUAAAAGCUGCCCAGUUUUUUCUGGUUGUUUCUAAAUCAGUACCACACAGUUUAUAACCGCAAGAGGAAAAAGAGAUUUUAACAGAAAGCAUGGGAGUAACAGUGCAUGUUGAAUACUGUGGAGGAUGAGGGUACGCUGCCCGUUAUCAGGAGCUUGCCAAGAAAAUCAAGGAGCAAGUUCCUGAUGCGGAGAUUUCAGAUGAAGUGGGCAGGAAAGGAAGCUUUGAAGUGA
This 268-nucleotide long non-coding RNA is filed under the name Chelonoidis abingdonii (Abingdon island giant tortoise). Its description in RNAcentral is "lncRNA (ENSCABG00000017194.1)". Lineage: Eukaryota; Metazoa; Chordata; Testudines; Testudinidae. The record is from RNAcentral.